Molecule: non-coding RNA, 30 nt
Filed under: Homo sapiens (human)
Lineage: Eukaryota; Metazoa; Chordata; Mammalia; Primates; Hominidae
Source: RNAcentral
UGGUAUGUCCUCAGACGUUUGCCUGAGUGA